AGGGUUGUAGCUCAGUGAUAAAGCACUUGCCUCGCAUGCAUGAGGCCCUGGGUUUGAUCCUCAGCACCACAU
RNAcentral lists this transfer RNA (72 nucleotides) under Marmota marmota marmota (Alpine marmot). It matches the Rfam family "tRNA". From Rfam's summary of the family: Transfer RNA (tRNA) molecules are approximately 80 nucleotides in length. The record is from Rfam by way of RNAcentral. Lineage: Eukaryota; Metazoa; Chordata; Mammalia; Rodentia; Sciuridae. RNAcentral also lists the same sequence under 3 other names.